Non-coding RNA from Lactuca sativa (garden lettuce), 1001 nucleotides. The record is from RefSeq and is a predicted model, not a curated record. NCBI's taxonomy places the organism in Eukaryota, Viridiplantae, Streptophyta, Magnoliopsida, Asterales, Asteraceae.
UUGUUUGGUUUCUAAACAUAUAAACAAAUAACAAUUUUUUUCUUUUACAAUUUAAAAACAAUGGACCAACCCAUCUUUUGCGAAAGGUUUGCGAUGGAUUGGGCAGUGCUAAUAUAGACGGACACAAGAUUUCAUAAUAAGAGUGUCAAGAGAAAUUUUAGUAGUAUUAUGAUUGUAGAAAAAAAAAUCGAAAAGUUUUGUACUAUGUCUCGGGAAAAAUCAAAUGGAGAAAGAAAUGUGAAAAUAGAAUUAGGGUUUUACUAUCUCACUUUCACUCUCACUCACCCUUGCCCGAUCUAGGUUUUUGUUUUGGUCAACGAUCAAGGCUGCUAAGGUUAUUAAGACAAUUGCAAAUAGUAUCUCUGAGUUGCAAAACGAGCUUCAAGUCUCAGAAUUCUAAAAAGAGGAUCAAGAUCAUCAAGAAGUAUUUGAUAAAGAUCAAGAAAGUGAAGAUGAUAAGAAGCGCAAGGCUGCUCUUGAAAGGCUUGUGGAAGCCACUGAAAACAAAAUCCUUGGCCAGGCAACUUUUAAAUGAUAGUUUAAUAACUUGUAUUAUCAAUGGAGCUUGGCAAGCACUUGGUAAUACAUGGAAAAGGAGUUCCACUUUUGUUCAGAAUAGAGAAAUGCAUCUCAAUUCUCAAAUGCCGCAAUCACACAAGAAAGGCGUCACCUGCAUUAUUGCAAAUUUGACAUCUCAAAGUGAAGGACUUCCUGUUAAAAGGAAGUGACCGCUGUUUUGGGUGGAUGAUUAUGUUUCACGGGUAUGCGAUCAAGAUCCAUAUGCAUGCAUGCAGGGGUCAAAAAUGUUUGACGAAGUCAAUAAUUUAAUGUAUGAGGUUAGCUUCCACAAGGAUUGGUAAAUGAAUACAAAACAGAUUUUGUCUUUUCCUUCAAAUUCAAUCAUCAAUUGAUUAAAUAUAUGUAUAAAUUAUUCUGCCCCUAUCUCAUUUUUGGAUAAAUAUUGGUUAAAUGAUAUGAUAUAUUAAUUAUUAUUUAUUUUA